Molecule: long non-coding RNA, 3659 nt
Organism: Mya arenaria
Lineage: Eukaryota; Metazoa; Mollusca; Bivalvia; Myida; Myidae
Exons: 3
Source: RefSeq, a predicted model, not a curated record
GGACGCAACCUCGCGCCAACUGUCAAAAUGUUUCGAAAAACAAAAUGCUCUUAUUUCGAUGCAUUUCAAGAGUUUUGUUGUGAAAAGAACACUGGAAUAUAGACUGAAAUACUAUCCAACCAUUAGACUCAUGAUCUUGACAUGGAUCCAAGAUGCUGGUAACUAGGCGGGACGGAUUGUUACACAAAACAGCAGGUUUCUGGAUGGAGACUCAGCGCCAUGUCACAAAUACUUCAGAACCCAGUGUGCGAAAUUAACGGUAGCCCGAUCGCCCGUGGCGAUGAAAAAUUGACCCAGGCUACGAAAAAAUCUUUUAAGGUAGCCCGACUGGCGAUGAAAUCAUCGGGCUUGUUGGCUAAAAAAAAAUGUCGGGUAAAUGUUUACCUCGACACCGUUGACCGACUUCCGGAUAAUCUCUCAUUGUUAUGGAUAUUUUCUGUUGCAGUAAACUCCCUUGUCAAGCAAUUAUACGCUAUAUACUGCUUGAAAAUAAUUAUUUUGACGGAAAUCAUAUUUCGGACUGUCAAUACUUUUUUUUAGUGAGAUAUUAAAGUUUGGAUGUUGUUUUUGUGUGUGUUUUUUUUAAAUAAACUUGGAUUAUUAAGUCACCGAAAAUUAUGAAAUAGAUGUUUAUAAAAUCCUGUCACUAAUGCCACAAGCAGCACAUGUUGACAGGACUUCCAUCCUCCCCCUUCAUCAAAUCAACAAUCCAACUGCCUUGACAGAACCAGCCCCCCCCCCCCCCCCACCCCACCCCCAUCGAACCACCACCAGCCCCCCUGCCCCCUGGCAAUACAGGACCACACAACCACUAUACUUGCAUUUUAUACAAAAUAUAAUAAGAUAUUGUACAGUUGUCAUAUCAUUCCUUGUUUUUAACCAUAUAAGGUACUCAAGAUGCGUUUUUCUGUUAACCGGUGGGCUAUGGAAAUCUGGCUUGGGCUACAGAAAUCUCAAAGUCUGUAGCCCCAUUGGCUACCAGGUAAAAAAGGUUAAUUUCGCACACUGAGAACCUAGAAUGAAAGUUACCGAAAGAGCAAUAGACUUUCCAAUCUCUACAAAAUUCAUCUUAACUGUUUUUCAAGGUGAUACUUGAGACUACCAAAGACUUUUCAAGGACAGAAUUCACAAAACAGUUUAUGCCACCAUCUCAUAUCAAAGGAUUGUGCUUGAGUUGAACAGCCUUCAAACAGAAACUGUUUCAAAACCUUCAAUGGAUUCAUUCUGAUUCAGUUUACCCUUGCUGUGAUCUGAGCAACUAUUUACAUCAAUUCAACAUUGUAAACUGUUUAAACUUGAAAAUUCUGUCUUCGUGCAACUCAAAUGAAUCUAUUUACUGUGAUGUUGACUCUAUACAGGAAGAAGAGACCAUCUUUAUACAUGCUGGCAUAUCUUUUAAAAAGGAAACAAAUAUUAUAACCAACAUACUACACUGUUAUGUCAUCCAAGAACUCAGCUACUGACUCAAUUUAUAAAUACUUCAAAGGAAAAAUGUCUCUAUCAAUGUAACUACUGCUGUGCAUAAUAAGACAUUUUUUAUUAUGCGCCCCUUCCAAGAAGAGGGGUAUAUUGCUUUGCACAUGUCGGUCGGUCGAUACCGUCUACCGUCUGUAUACCAAAGCUUGUCCGAGUGACAACUCAACAAUUCCUGGACGUAUGGUCAUCAAACUUGACAUGAAGGUUGGGCCUGACCAGUAGAUGAUUUUAGGGCUCAUCGGGUCAAAGGUCAAGGUCACAGUGACCUUGAAUGGUAAAUUAAUUUUAAAGCUUGUCCGAGUGAUAACCUAACAAUGCCUUGACCUUUCGUCAUCAAACUUGAUAUGGAAGUUGGGCCUCACCAGUAGAUGACCCCUAUUAGUUUUUGGAAAAAGGUUGUCCAAGUGAUAAAUCAACAAUGCCUGCCCCCAUGGCCCUCAAACUUGACUUGGAGGUUGGGCCUUACCAGAAGAUGACCCCUAUUGAUUUUAGGGGUCAAAGGUCAAGGUCAAAGUGAUCUUGAAAGCAAACUCGACAAUUCCUGGACCAAUCAUACCAUUCAGUCUGAAUGGUCAUCAAACUUGACAUAAAGGUUGGGCCUGAUCAGUAGAUGACCCCUCUUGACUUUGAGGGUCAUCAAGCCAACGUCAAGGUCACAAUAACCUUUAAUGCAAAAAAGAUAACAAAUCCUCUCUCAGGGAUAUCUCAACAAUUCCUGAACCUAUGGUCAUCAAACUUGACAUGGAAGUUUGUCCUGACAAGGAGAUGACGCUUAUUGAUUUUAGGAGUCAUUGGGUCAAAGGUCAAGUUCACAGUGACCUUGAAUGCGAAAAUGUUUCGAGUGAUAACUUGACAAUGCCUGUACCCAUGGCCCUCAAAUCUGACUUGGAGUUGUGUCUGGCCUGUAAAUGAGUCCCUUUCAUUUUAGGGGUCAUCGGGUCAAACGUCAAGGUCACAGUGACAUUGAUUGAAAAAAGCUUGUCUGUGUGAUAACAUGUCAAUGCCUGAACCCAUGUCCCUCAAACUUGACAUUUAGAUUUUUGUAGACCAGCUGAUGACUCAUAUGGAUUUUGAGGUCAUAGUCAUUAGAGUCAAAGGUCAUGCUCAUAACACACUCUAUCCUCACACUUUGAAUGGUCAUAAUCUUAAAACUGCCUCAACGGCAUCCAAUGUCAGUGACUAAUCAGCUGUCAUUUCGGUCCAUGCUCAUUUCAUUCAAUUGUUCAUAUAAUCCUGACAACAUGGCACUCAGGUGGGGGCAUAAUGUUUGACAAACAUCUCUUUUUGAUACUUGGCUCAUUUCUUACAUGUAGCUGUAACAUUUUGGGCAACUUCUCAAUUAUUUUGUUUAAGACAUUUUUCAUCCAGCUCAUCUAAGCCUAAGUUAGUGUUCAUGUUAACUUUUAUGACUGCCUGUUUAUUGUACUUUUUAUAAAUCAUUUUUAAUGACUUUUUCUCAAGAACCAUUUGGCUAAGUAUGUCUCCUCCUGAAAUAGACUAAUUCUUUUAGCUCCAGUUGUCUGUCUGUACGUCUGUAACAAAUUGUGUCUGCUCCAUGUCUCUUUAACCUUUUGAAGGAUUUGAUAUAACUUCCCACAAAUGUACACCAAAUUGAGAGGAAGGGUUUAUUAUUAUAACUGUUGAGCAGUUUCCGAACUUGACUGUAUUAUAUCUUGCAUUUACCUCAAGCUGUUAAGUGAACAAUAUAACAUUGACCAAUACAAGGAACUAAACCUUCUAGGUCACCAUUUUGGAAUAAAGUAAUACUUAAAGCUCAUAUUUCCAUAAGAAUCUGCUCAUAUACAUUUUAAAUAGCUUAUACAAGUAUAUCAUUUCAACAUAACAUCAGAUCCUCCACUGUUUUAUGUUUGCAACAUUUUUUUUUAAACUUUGAUUUAUAUAUCAAGACUUUUAUGAACAAAUACCAAACAGCAACUCACAAAUCUAUACUCAUUUGGGCAGAAUUUUGUAAAUCCAAGCAUUGUCAUUUGAUAUUCAAUGCUUUUUGGCAAAUUGGGGCAUUUUCUGUCACAUUAAAAUCAAUAUUAACAAUAAAUCUCCAACUUCAAUAUUCUCAUAUUUUUGUGCCCAUUCUUUGCCAAUUAUUUGUUUGUCUAUUGGUAUACAUGUAUGUUUAUUCAUACUGUUUUUCAAAAUAACGAAUUAAUAAAAUGUUUGAAAUA